This 542-nucleotide ribosomal RNA is filed under the name uncultured archaeon. RNAcentral's name for it is "bacterial SSU rRNA". It matches the Rfam family "Archaeal small subunit ribosomal RNA", at positions 457 to 997 of the family's 1478-position model. The record is from RNAcentral.
GGCAGCCGCCGCGGGAACACCGGCGGCCCGAGUGGUGAUCGUGAUUAUUGGGUCUAAAGGGUCCGUAGCCGGUUUGGUCAGUCCUCCGGGAAAUCUGAUAGCUCAACUAUUAGGCUUUCGGGGGAUACUGCCAGACUUGGAACCGGGAGAGGUAAGAGGUACUACAGGGGUAGGAGUGAAAUCUUGUAAUCCCUGUGGGACCACCUGUGGCGAAGGCGUCUUACCAGAACAGGUUCGACGGUGAGGGACGAAAGCUGGGGGCACGAACCGGAUUAGAUACCCGGGUAGUCCCAGCCGUAAACGAUGCUCGCUAGGUGUCAGGCAUGGCGCGACCGUGUCUGGUGCCGCAGGGAAGCCGUGAAGCGAGCCACCUGGGAAGUACGGCCGCAAGGCUGAAACUUAAAGGAAUUGGCGGGGGAGCACAACAACGGGUGGAAGCCUGCGGUUUAAUUGGACUCAACGCCGGACAACUCACCGGGGGCGACAGCAAUAUGUAGGCCAAGCUGAAGACUUUGCCUGAAUCGCUGAGGGGUGGUGCAUGG